CUAUGGAGGCUGGGUAAUGCUGACCAGGACAAGAUCAUUAUCUGUGGAGGCCCUUUCAUUUCAUCAUACUCUCAAGGCUGAAACUUGAUUUCUCCCUCAGAGCUCAAGGCAAGACCAAUACUCUCCUCUGUGAACAAUAAACACAACAGCUGCUGUAAAAUCUUCAGUGUAAAUGGCAGACUUGCAGCUGCAGAAAAGCAAAGUCGUGGUACAACAGAAAAAUUUGAGAAACACUUCCAAAUCGCAAGUGAAAUUAAAAUAUAGAAGUGAAAAGUCAAGAACAGAGGCAGGUUGGAUGUGAAGGUCUUACAGAGCCAAACCACACACAGCAGAUGCUCCUGAGGAGAAAAUGAAGAAAGGAGCAGAAGUAGCAGCCAAAAACAUAAUAGAAGAAAACUUUCAAGGUGGAGAAAUUGAAAAUGCUGAGCAAAAAAAUAAUGCAGAGAGAGCAAUAAUGACAGAGGGUGUUGUGCUACACUGAAGUUUGCACUUCAGGAAAAACAGGACAUCAGAAAAGCUCCCAGGAGGAAAAAAGUAAACAGAUUAUCUUCAAAUAAGCUAAAAUUAAGUUGUCUUCAAAUGUGUCUGCUGAAAUAAAAGAUGCCUCCAGACCAUGUGAUAUGGUUCCACUGUGUCCCCACCAAAAUCUCAUCUUGAAUUGUAGCUCUCAUGAUCCCCAAGUAUUGUGGGAGGGACCUGGUAGGAGGUAAUUAAAUCAUGGAGGUGGUUACUCUCAUGCUGUUCUCAUGAUAGAGUGUGAGUUCUCACAAGAUCUGAUGGUUUUAUAAUGGGCUUUUUCCUCUUUGCUCAGCACUUCUCCUUCCUGCCAUCAUAUGAAUAAGGACGUGUUUUCUUCCCCUUCCACCAUGAUUGUAAGUUUCCCUAGGCCUCCCCAGCCAUGAAGAACUGUGAGUCAAUUAAAUCUCUUUCCUUUAUAAAUUACCCAGUCUCAGGCAGUUCUUUACAGCAGCGUGAGAACGGACUAAUACACCAUGGGAUAACUGAUACUGGCAUAUCUGUGUGGGAAACCCCAGGACCUGAGAACUUUCUGGCCAUUUCUAAAAUCUCCAGACGGCUGCACCUGUCACCUCUUCUGUAAAAGCUGCUUGAACGGAAUCCUUCAAAAUACCAAACAGGACAGCAGGGACAUCACCAUAGAAAGAAUUGGGCUGGAAUGAUAGGCCAGAUUUUUUAAAAGAAGAAAUAUGUGGACAGAAAAUAUGUGACUGAAACACCAGGAGUUUGAUGUUGGUCUUGUUGCUCACUGCACAGAAAGCCAGUCACUGAGACAAUGAAUACUGCAGGGAAGAAGGAAGGCUUCAUGCAGGUGCGCAGCUGAGGAGCGUUCACGGUGACCCAGGAACUUUGUGCUCAGCCGUCUGGGGCAAUUCUGUCCGCCUCCAAUCCAUCUGUCAAAGCCCUGAGUCCCAGGACUUCAGAAAGUGACUGUGUUUGGAGACAGGGACUCGAUAGGGGAGAUUAAUACAAAGUGAGGUCACAUGGGUGACCCUAAUCCAAUCUGACACGUGUCCUUAUAGGAAGAGGAGAUGAAGACACAGAUGUGCACAGAGGGGCAGCCCUGUGAGGACACGCGGAGAAGAUGGCGUGUGCGAGCCAGGGAGACAGAAACCAAUCGUGACAACCCCUGAUCUCAGACUGCCAGCCUCCAGAGCUGGGGGAAAGUACGUUUCUGCUAUUGAAGCCGCCAGUCUGUGGUGCCGGGUUAUGCGCCAGUACCCACACGCCAGCCGAGACAGCAAUAGCGAGACACUCCGGAUAGAUGAAGGGCGUGCGGCCUUCCCACCGCCCACCUGAAAACACUGCCUAAAGAUGAGCCCAGUCCACAAAGCCUGCAUGAAAUGACGCGUUCAACAGCAGGAAAGACCUGGGUGGCAUAAAAAGAAAAAGAGUCAGGGAGACCAAGUCAGGCGAGGGGAGAAUGAGACUGGAAAUGGUUUGGCUGUGUCCCCACACAAAUCUCAUCUUUAAUUGCAGCUCCCAUAAUUCCCAUGUGUUGUGGGAGGGACCCAGUGGGAGAUAAUUGAAUCGUGGGGGCGGUUUGCCCAUAGCGUUCUCAUGGUAGUGAAUAAGUCUCCUGAGAUCUGAUGGUUUUAAAAGGGGAAACUCCUCUCGCUUGACUCUCAUUCUGUUUUGUCUGCUGCCACAUAAGACAUGCCUUUCACCUUUCACCAUGAUUGUGAGGCCUCCCCAGCCACGUGGAACUGUGUGUCCGUUAAACCUCUUUCUCUUCAUAAAUUACUCAGUCUUGGGUAUGUCA
Molecule: long non-coding RNA, 2278 nt
Organism: Gorilla gorilla gorilla (western lowland gorilla)
Lineage: Eukaryota; Metazoa; Chordata; Mammalia; Primates; Hominidae
Exons: 3
Source: RefSeq, a predicted model, not a curated record